Molecule: transfer RNA, 73 nt
Filed under: Ailuropoda melanoleuca (giant panda)
Lineage: Eukaryota; Metazoa; Chordata; Mammalia; Carnivora; Ursidae
Rfam family: tRNA
About the family: Transfer RNA (tRNA) molecules are approximately 80 nucleotides in length. Their secondary structure includes four short double-helical elements and three loops (D, anti-codon, and T loops). Further hydrogen bonds mediate the characteristic L-shaped molecular structure. tRNAs have two regions of fundamental functional importance: the anti-codon, which is responsible for specific mRNA codon recognition, and the 3' end, to which the tRNAs corresponding amino acid is attached (by aminoacyl-tRNA synthetases). tRNAs cope with the degeneracy of the genetic code in two manners: having more than one tRNA (with a specific anti-codon) for a particular amino acid; and 'wobble' base-pairing, i.e. permitting non-standard base-pairing at the 3rd anti-codon position.
Source: Rfam by way of RNAcentral
GCCUGGCUGGCUCAGUCAGUGGAGCAUAAGAUUCUUGAUCUAGGAGUUUUGAGUUCAAGCCCCACGUUGGGCA